RNAcentral lists this ribosomal RNA (405 nucleotides) under uncultured bacterium. RNAcentral describes it as "partial 16S ribosomal RNA". It matches the Rfam family "Bacterial small subunit ribosomal RNA", at positions 28 to 526 of the family's 1533-position model. The record is from RNAcentral.
GAUGAACGCUGGCGGCAUGCCUAAUACAUGCAAGUCGAGCGGAGCGGGGACGGGUGAGUAACACGUGGAUAACAUCCUAUAAGACUGGGAUCACCUCGGGAAAACGGAGCUAAACCGGAUAAUUAUAGAUGGAUCCGCGCUGCAUUAGCUAGUUGGUAAGGUAACGGCUUACCAAGGCAACGAUGCAUAGCCGACCUGAGAGGGUGAUCGGCCACACUGGAACGGAGACACGGUCCAGACUCCUACGGGAGGCAGCAGUAGGGAAUAUUCGGCAAUGGGCGAAAGCCUGACGGAGCAACGCCGCGUGAGUGAUGAAGGUCUUCGGAUCGUAAAACUCUUUUAGUAGGGAAGCGUUACCUAAUCAGAAAGCCACGGCUAACUACGUGCCAGCAGCCGCGGUAAUAC